AGGUUAGAAAUGUAAAGUCCUUAGGGCAGUGCCUGCUGUGUGGCAAGCCCUAUAUAAUGAUUUACUGUUAGUGUGAUGAUGCCGAGACAGUCUGGAGGGGAGAUCAGUGUCCACAUAGAAAACAUGCUUAGGACAGCUUGAUAGAUAGUGUACUGCAUUAGGCCAAAGAUGCCCCAGGAGUUUAUGAGUAUGUUACCAUACAGGGCAAGAGGGACUUUGUAGAUGUGAUGAAGGGCGUGGAACCUUGAAAUGGGAAGAUUAGCCUGGAUUAUCCAGGUAGGCCAAUCUCAUCACAUAAAUCUUUAAAAGUGGAGAGCCUUGCCGGGCGCGGUGGCUCACGCCUGUAAUCCCAGGACUUUGGGAGGCCGAGGUGGGUGGAUCAUGAGGUUAGGAGAUCGAGACCAUCCUGGUUAACAUGGUGAAACCCCGUCUCUGCUAAAAAAUAGAAAAAGUUAGCCGGGCAUGAUGGCGGGUGCCUGCAGUCCCAGCUACUCUGGAGGCUGAGGCAGGAGAAUGGCGUGAACCCAGGAGGUGGAGCUUGCAGUGAGCCAAGAUCGCGCCGCUGAACUCCAGCCUGGGAGACAGAGCGAGACUCCGUCUCAAAAAAGAA
This 610-nucleotide long non-coding RNA is filed under the name Homo sapiens (human). RNAcentral's name for it is "non-protein coding lnc-TFEB-3:1". Lineage: Eukaryota; Metazoa; Chordata; Mammalia; Primates; Hominidae. The record is from RNAcentral.